This is a long non-coding RNA of Phodopus roborovskii (desert hamster), 390 nucleotides long. RefSeq lists it as uncharacterized. The transcript has 2 exons. Lineage: Eukaryota; Metazoa; Chordata; Mammalia; Rodentia; Cricetidae. The record is from RefSeq and is a predicted model, not a curated record.
CUUAACUGAAUUUUAUAACGCUGAUCGAUAUCUUGGUAAAAUAUUCAUUUUUAAACUAGCGGGCAGUGAAAUCUUUGCUUUGUGUGCUAAAGUCAACAGUCGCUCGGUUUGAGCUCAAAUAAAUGCAGGGAUGCCUCGGCUGGGAGCAGUCCGCCGCCUCCCUCCGAGCGCAGGACGCUCCGACGCCCGCCUGCCCGCAGGCCACCGCAGGAACCUCACCGGUGCUGAGCAGUGAGAAAGCAGCCCCGAGGCUCCAGGGCAGAUCCCGUAAGUUCCAGUUGGGGAGAUUCCGGACCCUUUUCCAAAGAGAGUUGCGCUGAUCGCGUGUGCGUUGUUUUCAAAGCCAAGUAAAGGAAAUAACAGCCAAUUAAAAUGAAAUAUUUUCAGUUC